Molecule: long non-coding RNA, 3092 nt
Organism: Alligator mississippiensis (American alligator)
Lineage: Eukaryota; Metazoa; Chordata; Crocodylia; Alligatoridae
Exons: 3
Source: RefSeq, a predicted model, not a curated record
CAUGUGUAGCCCAUAAGGCUAGGGUGCCUGGGGAGCACCCAUCAUACCGGGAGACCCCCAGGGGGUCCGGGAACACAUGGGGACAGAGGUCCCAGCUUACCAUGCCCAGGGAGUCGUAAGGCAGCCUCCCAACUUUACCUCAACAUCAAAGACGUGGCGGGUGAGAAUUUGAGGGUGUCCUUGGGCCAACUUGGCACGGUGAGGGGGCCAUAAGGAGAUCACGGCCCUCCUUGAAGGACCCUGCCUUGACAGUGAGAAUACUUCCAAGCAGAUGUCAGGAGAGGUUUCUUCUCCAAAGGGUUCACUGGCAUUAUGUAGAAAAGCCAGGGGUAGGAAUUAAAGAAAAUAACAUCAAGCUGAAAACACCAAGUUAGAAAACAAACCUGUGGGAAGGGAAGGAAGGACUAGAUUGGGUACAAGGUAUUGUUCAUGGAAAGUUGUGGGGGGCUGAGGGAGAACUCGAUGAAACUGAACAUAUUUUCCCAUAAAACUCACAAACAAAUGGCCUUUAGCUAUUGUCACAGUGCCCUGUUCCUAAAGAGAGGAAACUGCCAGGGAAAGAGCCCUAGCAGGGUAUAAGGAGCCCAGCUGUGGGUUGCCAGGGCAACCAGGAGGUCAGCUAACUGAAAGGGGCAGGGCCUGGCUCCUAUAUAAAUCACAGGCAGGAGGCCAGAGGCAGUUCUCUGCCAGUAGCCAGAGAAGCAGGAGCUCCUAGGCCAGGAGGCAAGAAGAAGCCUAACUGCAGUGGAGGUCAAAGAUUCUGGUGUACAUCUUGUCAGCAAGGGCCUGAAGCUCAGAUCUGUCUGUUGUAUCCUUCACUAGUAUUCAAGAUUGCUAAGGUAACUCAAAAGGCGAAAUGUUUAACAUCAGACUAUGGAAAAAAAACCCAAUAUGAAAGCUGAGAUUUUAAUAGUAUAUAAUAAUUCAUAGGAAUAUUAUAUACACAUUUUAUGUAACUUAAUGGAAAAAAAAUGUGUCUAAAUCCCCCAAAGCAGCAGUUCUCAACCAGCAGGCAGGUUUGAGGGAGGGGGGGUUGAUGACACUGCCCUUUCCAUUUUGCUAACUGGGAGAGAGCUCUUGGGUAUAUCCUGACUAGAUGAGAGGUGAACCCCCCAGAUCAGAUCAAAGCUCUAAAAUAAUAGAGAACCACAUGCCAAGAAUGUUUUGAGAAACUCAGCUCAGUAUCAAGGACGCACAACAAAACUGUGCAGUUAGGACCUAAUCCAAAGCCCACUAAAAUGAGUGAGCAUCUUUUUGCUGAGUUUUAAUGGGCUGUGGAUAAGCCCUUGAAGAGCAGGGUUAAAGCCAGCUUCACAGCAUUUGGUUUUUUUCAUGGCUGGCACCUCAAAUUCUUCCCCUUCCCAAAAGAAUCCGAGCUCAGGGGUAUUCCAGAGAAGAUAAAACAUUGACCUGUUUGGGAGGGUGGGGGCAGAAGUUUUCACCAUUUAAGCCUGAAAACAUCCUGAAUAGGAGAGGCUGCCUCAUCUCACUGCAUUUUCCCAGUGCAAUUGUCAGCAGCUGCAGGCAAUGGAGUGUUUGAAGCGACUGGGCUGGUGGACAUUGAUUUCAGGAAUUCUAUCAGUCCAAUUAAAUGAAGGAAUCAAAAACUCAUGAUUUGCCCUGGCUUUCUGAAGCUAAAGGGAGCAUUGCUGAAGGUGAGAAGGAUUGGGAUCUCAAUUAUUAGGUCCUAACUACCCACAAUUUUGUUGUGCCUCCCUUGAUGCUGAGCUAAGUUUCUUAAAACAUUCUUGGCAUGUAGUUUUUGGGGUUUUUUUGGAGGGUUUUUUUUUUUUGCCAUGUGGCAUUCUCUUUAUAGAAUAUAGGCAGGAUAACAGGGAGUCAGAGGCUCUUGUUAGUGUAAGAGGGGAAGUGAAGCAGGAAGGUCUGCAGGCAGAUCAGUAAGGGCUCCCUCUGGGAGAGUAGCUAGCUAGAGAGCUAUAUGGGUGCAAGUAAUGAUUCAGGAGCUAGAUGCAGGGCAACAGGCAGGAGCUCAAGCUAGGUAGGAGGGAAACAAAGACAACACAACUAGGAAAACAACAGCCUGCUGCUCAUUAAGUGGAGAGAGCACACCUGUGGCCAGUCAGGAGCACACCUACCUGGAGAAGGUAGCACUCGGGAUAUAAAUCUGGGUUCCUGAGGCAAUAGGGUCUUGAAUGCUGUGAGAAGAGAUGUCUCUGCUAGCUUAGGUGUCUGGGAGCAAGCUGCAGGCUAGAAGAGGGGGUCUCAUAGUCACCCUCAAGACAUUCCUGCUUGUUGGCCUCAUAAUUGUCUUGCAAAAUCAUCUUCGGCUGACUGAUUCGCAUCAGCUCACCUGCAACUAGGGCUAAGCUUUUGAUGUCAUGGCUUCUAGCACCCACCUUCACCUCAAAGCAUGGGACUCCUCUUCUCUUCAUUAUGGUGGGAGCCUUAUGAUGUACAGUUCAGCUGUGAUCUCUGAAUAGGAAAACUGACCAAAUACCCUUCACAGACCAGCUAGAUGCCCAUGGCUGAAUGUCAUGGGGAGCCUCCUUUUCUUUUUCCCUGAAUGUUGCUCCUGCCAGUCCAGGUGAUGACUACAUAUGCCAGGGAUCACUCACAGGUUAUCUGCCUGGCAUGGACACCAAUUUGCUGUCAGAUCUCAGAAUGUGAAUGCAGAAGAGUUUAGGGGCAGUCAUCCAUGACAAGACUCUUGUAAUUACAAUGGCUUCAUGCAAGGGAUAAGUCCCUCACCUUGCUUAAGUUAAUACUGGAUGAAGAAUAAAAUUGUGGGUACCUAUAUAUGUAUGUUGAGGCUGCUCUGAUGCACUGUAAUUCCAAUGCAUUGGAGCAGACUCUAUUAACUGAUGAGCGUUAGUUAAAGCGCUGAUUUGAAUGUUAGUUAAAGCUCCCCCACUACCAUUUUUCACUGCAGGGACACUGAUACACAUGAUGCUCUGGGCACUUUAAUUAGCUCUCUGAGCCACUCUAAUUAAAGCACUGCCCCUCUUUCCCCAGCCCUGGCAUCCUGGAGCACAUGUAUAAACACUGUAUAAGACCCAGCAAUCCCGAACUCAAUAAUGUGAUGGCCCAGUUACCGUUUCAUCCCUUUAGGACUGGCACAUUGCUUACCAUGA